AAACGGGUUUCGUAGGUGACCUGCGGAAGGACAUU
This 35-nucleotide ribosomal RNA is filed under the name Phaeophyscia squarrosa. RNAcentral's name for it is "partial 18S ribosomal RNA". The record is from RNAcentral. Lineage: Eukaryota; Fungi; Ascomycota; Lecanoromycetes; Caliciales; Physciaceae.